This 1738-nucleotide long non-coding RNA is filed under the name Sus scrofa (pig). RNAcentral describes it as "lncRNA (ENSSSCG00040063540.1)". The record is from RNAcentral. Lineage: Eukaryota; Metazoa; Chordata; Mammalia; Artiodactyla; Suidae.
GCCUUGACGGGAACUCCAAAAUUAACUUUUUUUGUGUGUACAGGUCUGUGAACUUGAAUAUAGGUGUAUAUUUAUGUAACCACAACCGGGAUAUAGGACAGCUCUGUCACUGCAGAAGACUUCCUCAAGCUGUCCUUUACUUACCUCCUCCCACUCUUCGCUGGCAGCUACUGAGUGCUUCACUUGCUGUCUUUUCUAGAAUGUUAUGUAAGUGAAAUCAUGUAACAUGUAGUCUUUUGAGACUGGUCAGCCAAGUUGCGUGAAAGAGUCAUAAAACGUUGUAUCAAGGAGUUCCCGUCGUGGCGCAUGGUUAACGAAUCCGACUAGGAACCAUGAGGUUGCAGGUUCGGUCCCUGCCCUUGCUCAGUGGGUUAAGAAUCUGGCGUUGCCGUGAGCUGUGGUGUAGGUUGCAGACGCGGCUCGGAUCCCGCGUUGCUGUGGCUCUGGAGUAGGCCGGUGGCUACAGCUCCGAUUAGACCCCUAGCCUGGGAACCUCCAUAUGCCGCGGGAGCGGCCCAAGAAAUAGCAAAAAAAUAAAUAAAUAAAUAAAUAAAAAUAAAGACAUUAAUUUUGAAACACUAUUUCUCACAAUAAAUGGUGGUCCAAAUUUUUGCUUACAGAAUUGUGGUUGACUCACGGUUUUUUGUGUGAAAGUGAAAUAACUGAUGAAAUUUAUAGGGGAAAACUACUUCCCCCAGUUAAUAUGUGUAUAUAUCAACUUGUUUUUCUUUGUGGAGAUGGUUGACCAUUGGUAGGGGAGGUUCCUGGUUUUAGUUUUUAUUAAACAUCUGCAGAGUUGCAGCAGGGUCCUGAUUUGAAAAAGGUGGCUGUUUCAACAUUAUUAAUUUCUAAAAUGUAGUCUGAAGAUAGGAUAACAGCUGGCCGCUUUGCCCAGGACUUCUCCAGGUUAACUCUGAAAGCCUGGCUGCUCCAGGAAAUAUAGGAUAUAAAAGAGGCAUAAUGAAGAAAACUUGAGGAUUCCAGUUCAUCAGGUAUUAAGAGUGAAUUAUCAGCCAAGUAUUUGUUACUGGUUUGUUGCCCUCUUUAAGUCUUCAUUUGAAUGAGUUUAAGAAGCACUCUAGUCUGUAUUUUUUUGUUAGCAAUAUUGUAAAAAAUUGUGGUAAGCAAAUUUGCAAGUUUCAUGUGUAGGAGCUCAAUUAAGUCAAGUUUAUACUUACAAUCUCUUUUGAGUUUUGCAGUUCAGAUAAUACUAUCUAAAUCUGAGGUAAAUUUUAAGUUUUUGUUGAAUUAGCUACUGGGUUCCCCGUUCUGAUUUUUUUUUCAUGCCAUCUCUUCUAUAGAUUUCUUUAUAGGACAUCUCUAUAAGCAGAUUACUUAUAAGCCGUUAGCUGCCGUCCUCAGUAGACUGUAAACUUCACGGAGGUAGAGAGGCCUUUAAUGUCGCUGUAUCUUGGAGCCUGGAAGAGCACAUUCUGUGGAUGAGUACUUGCUGAAUUGCAUGAAAAAAUGAUUGCUUCUGUGAGUAGGUUUUUAGUCCUCAGUGCUUUCCAGCCUAUUACAAAUUUUGGGGAUGUAGAAACAUUUUGUUUGUUUUAAAAGAAAUAUUUAAAUCUACGUUUUUUUUCAAAUUGUGCAGGAGUGAAAAUAUAGUCUAUUUGUUAACCCUCUGUGAGUGAAGCUCCCUCAAGGAAUGGGAAUUUGGACCUUAAUUCUUAAAAUGGCAAUUCUGAAGCAGUGGAGAGAGCCCUUAAAAAAAAAAAAAAAAAAAAAAAAAAAA